RNAcentral lists this transfer RNA (74 nucleotides) under Mus musculus (house mouse). RNAcentral's name for it is "tRNA-Ala". Lineage: Eukaryota; Metazoa; Chordata; Mammalia; Rodentia; Muridae. The record is from RNAcentral.
GAUGUGGCUCAGUUGGUAGAGUGCUUGCCUAGCAUGCAGGAAGCCUUCCUUGGUUUGAUUCCCAGCACACAUCA